This 253-nucleotide ribosomal RNA is filed under the name uncultured bacterium. Its description in RNAcentral is "partial 16S ribosomal RNA". It matches the Rfam family "Bacterial small subunit ribosomal RNA", at positions 524 to 776 of the family's 1533-position model. The record is from RNAcentral.
UACGAGGGGAGCAAGCGUUGUUCGGAUUUACUGGGCGUAAAGGGCGCGUAGGCGGCAUGACAAGUCACUUGUGAAAUCUCCGGGCUUAACUCGGAACGGCCAAGUGAAACUGUCAAGCUAGAGUGCAGAAGGGGCAAUCGGAAUUCUUGGUGUAGCGGUGAAAUGCGUAGAUAUCAAGAGGAACACCUGAGGUGAAGACGGGUUGCUGGGCUGACACUGACGCUGAGGCGCGAAAGCCAGGGGAGCAAACGGG